AACGAACGCUGGCGGCAGGCCUAACACAUGCAAGUCGAGCGAGGACUUCGGUCCUAGCGGCGGACGGGUGAGUAACGCGUGGGAACGUGCCCUUUGCUUCGGAAUAGCCCUGGGAAACUGGGAGUAAUACCGGAUGAGCCCUUUGGGGGCAAGAUUUAUCGGCGAAGGAUCGGCCCGCGUUGGAUUAGGUAGUUGGUGGGGUAAUGGCCUACCAAGCCGACGAUCCAUAGCUGGUUUGAGAGGAUGAUCAGCCACACUGGGACUGAGACACGGCCCAGACUCCUACGGGAGGCAGCAGUGGGGAAUCUUAGACAAUGGGGGAAACCCUGAUCUAGCCAUGCCGCGUGAGCGAUGAAGGCCUUAGGGUUGUAAAGCUCUUUCAGCUGGGAAGAUAAUGACGGUACCAGCAGAAGAAGCCCCGGCUAACUCCGUG
RNAcentral lists this ribosomal RNA (433 nucleotides) under uncultured bacterium. Its description in RNAcentral is "partial 16S ribosomal RNA". It matches the Rfam family "Bacterial small subunit ribosomal RNA", at positions 29 to 507 of the family's 1533-position model. The record is from RNAcentral.